RNAcentral lists this ribosomal RNA (369 nucleotides) under Escherichia coli. RNAcentral describes it as "bacterial SSU rRNA". It matches the Rfam family "Bacterial small subunit ribosomal RNA", at positions 1 to 364 of the family's 1533-position model. Lineage: Bacteria; Pseudomonadati; Pseudomonadota; Gammaproteobacteria; Enterobacterales; Enterobacteriaceae. The record is from RNAcentral.
UUAAAUUGAAGAGUUUGAUCAUGGCUCAGAUUGAACGCUGGCGGCAGGCCUAACACAUGCAAGUCGAACGGUAACAGGAAGCAGCUUGCUGCUUCGCUGACGAGUGGCGGACGGGUGAGUAAUGUCUGGGAAACUGCCUGAUGGAGGGGGAUAACUACUGGAAACGGUAGCUAAUACCGCAUAACGUCGCAAGACCAAAGAGGGGGACCUUCGGGCCUCUUGCCAUCGGAUGUGCCCAGAUGGGAUUAGCUUGUUGGUGGGGUAACGGCUCACCAAGGCGACGAUCCCUAGCUGGUCUGAGAGGAUGACCAGCCACACUGGAACUGAGACACGGUCCAGACUCCUACGGGAGGCAGCAGUGGGGAAUAU